This is a transfer RNA of Ovis aries (sheep), 72 nucleotides long. It matches the Rfam family "tRNA". From Rfam's summary of the family: Transfer RNA (tRNA) molecules are approximately 80 nucleotides in length. Their secondary structure includes four short double-helical elements and three loops (D, anti-codon, and T loops). Further hydrogen bonds mediate the characteristic L-shaped molecular structure. tRNAs have two regions of fundamental functional importance: the anti-codon, which is responsible for specific mRNA codon recognition, and the 3' end, to which the tRNAs corresponding amino acid is attached (by aminoacyl-tRNA synthetases). tRNAs cope with the degeneracy of the genetic code in two manners: having more than one tRNA (with a specific anti-codon) for a particular amino acid; and 'wobble' base-pairing, i.e. permitting non-standard base-pairing at the 3rd anti-codon position. The record is from Rfam. NCBI's taxonomy places the organism in Eukaryota, Metazoa, Chordata, Mammalia, Artiodactyla, Bovidae.
UCUCUGGUGGUCCAAUGGUUAAGAAUCCACCUUGCAAUGGAGGGGACACAGGUUCAAUCCCUGGCCAGAGAA